This 237-nucleotide small RNA is filed under the name Arabidopsis thaliana (thale cress). RNAcentral's name for it is "ATSL302570". Lineage: Eukaryota; Viridiplantae; Streptophyta; Magnoliopsida; Brassicales; Brassicaceae. The record is from RNAcentral.
UUUGAUAUCAAUGUCAUGUAGAGAAUCACGCAUUCCAAGUUUUCAACUAAGAAAAAUACAGAUGGGCUUGUGUCCAUAAUAUUCUUUGGACUUGGAAUUCUUGACACUAUAUCUAUGUUUGUUUUUAAUAUCUAUAUAUACAUUUUUGCAGCCAUUUUAUGAAAUAAAUCUUGUAGUUGGGACUUAUUUACAAUGGUUGCCAUUGGAUUUUAAUAUUUGUUUUUGAUAAUUAGAAGA